AUUGAACGCUGGCGGCAGGCCUAACACAUGCAAGUCGAACGAGUGGCGGACGGGUGAGUAAUGUCUGGGAAACUGCCUGAUGGAGGGGGAUAACUACUGGAAACGGUAGCUAAUACCGCAUACCAUCAGAUGUGCCCAGAUGGGAUUAGCUUGUUGGUGGGGUAACGGCUCACCAAGGCGACGAUCCCUAGCUGGUCUGAGAGGAUGACCAGCCACACUGGAACGGAGACACGGUCCAGACUCCUACGGGAGGCAGCAGUGGGGAAUAUUGCACAAUGGGCGCAAGCCUGAUGCAGCCAUGCCGCGUGUAUGAAGAAGGCCUUAGGGUUGUAAAGCUCUUUUACCCGGGAUGCAGUACCGGGAGAAUAAGCUCCGGCUAACUCCGUGCCAGCAGCCGCGGUAAUUC
This 406-nucleotide ribosomal RNA is filed under the name uncultured bacterium. RNAcentral describes it as "partial 16S ribosomal RNA". It matches the Rfam family "Bacterial small subunit ribosomal RNA", at positions 30 to 526 of the family's 1533-position model. The record is from RNAcentral.